AUCUUUUCUUGAGAAGUUGCUGAAGAUUGUUUUAUGAGAGUAUUAUAAGUCACUGCAUUUGGUAAUCAAGUGUUGCUUUCCCAAACGAAGUGACUUAUAAUGAUCUCAUGAAUCGAUUUUUGCAAAGUCUUAAGAGAGUAA
Non-coding RNA from Brassica rapa (field mustard), 141 nucleotides. RefSeq annotates it as microRNA MIR400. Lineage: Eukaryota; Viridiplantae; Streptophyta; Magnoliopsida; Brassicales; Brassicaceae. The record is from RefSeq and is marked provisional.